RNAcentral lists this unclassified non-coding RNA (253 nucleotides) under uncultured Gammaproteobacteria bacterium. RNAcentral's name for it is "contains 16S-23S intergenic spacer region". It matches the Rfam family "Bacterial small subunit ribosomal RNA", at positions 524 to 776 of the family's 1533-position model. Lineage: Bacteria; Pseudomonadati; Pseudomonadota; Gammaproteobacteria. The record is from RNAcentral.
UACUGAGGGUGCAAGCGUUAAUCGGAAUUAUUGGGCGUAAAGCGCGCGUAGGCGGCUUGGUAAGUCGGAUGUGAAAGCCCUGGGCUUAACCUGGGAAUUGCAUUCGAUACUGGCUGGCUAGAGUAUGGUAGAGGGAAGUGGAAUUUCCGGUGUAGCGGUGAAAUGCGUAGAUAUCGGAAGGAACACCAGUGGCGAAGGCGACUUCCUGGGCCAAUACUGACGCUGAUACGCGAAAGCGUGGGGAGCAAACAGG